RNAcentral lists this ribosomal RNA (484 nucleotides) under uncultured bacterium. RNAcentral describes it as "partial 16S ribosomal RNA". It matches the Rfam family "Bacterial small subunit ribosomal RNA", at positions 30 to 507 of the family's 1533-position model. The record is from RNAcentral.
AUUGAACGCUGGCGGCAGGCCUAACACAUGCAAGUCGAGCGGAUGAAGGGAGCUUGCUCCUGGAUUCAGCGGCGGACGGGUGAGUAAUGCCUAGGAAUCUGCCUGGUAGUGGGGGAUAACGUCCGGAAACGGGCGCUAAUACCGCAUACGUCCUGAGUGAGAAAGUGGGGGAUCUUCGGACCUCACGCUAUCAGAUGAGCCUAGGUCGGAUUAGCUAGUUGGUGGGGUAAAGGCCUACCAAGGCGACGAUCCGUAACUGGUCUGAGAGGAUGAUCAGUCACAAUGGAACUGAGACAAGGUCCAGACUACUACGGGAGGCAGCAGCGGGGAAUAUUGGACCAUGGGCGAAAGCCUGAUCCAGCCAUGCCGCGUGUGUGAAGAAGGUCUUCGGAUUGUAAAGCACUUUAAGUUGGGAGGAAGGGCAGUAAGUUAAUACCUUGCUGUUUUGACGUUACCAACAGAAUAAGCACCGGCUAACUUCGUG